GACGAACGCUGGCGGCAUGCCUAAUACAUGCAAGUCGAACGCUGAAGCACUCUGCUUGCAGAGUGCGGAUGAGUGGCGAACGGGUGAGUAACACGUGGGAAAUCUGCCUAUAAGAGGGGGAUAACAUUCGGAAACGGAUGCUAAUACCGCAUAUAUUCUUGGACCGCCUGGUCCUUGAAAGAAAGACGGCUUUGCUGUCGCUUAUAGAUGAUCCCGCGGCGUAUUAGUUAGUUGGUGGGGUAAAGGCCUACCAAGACAAUGAUACGUAGCCGACCUGAGAGGGUGAUCGGCCACACUGGGACUGAGACACGGCCCAGACUCCUACGGGAGGCAGCAGUAGGGAAUCUUCCACAAUGGGCGAAAGCCUGAUGGAGCAAUGCCGCGUGAAUGAAGAAGGUCUUCGGAUCGUAAAGUUCUGUUAUUAGAGAAGAACAAGUAAAGGAGUAACUGUCUUGACUUUGACGGUACCUAACCAGAAAGUCACGGCUAACUACGUG
Molecule: ribosomal RNA, 497 nt
Filed under: uncultured bacterium
Lineage: Bacteria
Description: partial 16S ribosomal RNA
Rfam family: Bacterial small subunit ribosomal RNA
Source: RNAcentral